AGUACCGUGAGGGAAAGGUGAAAAAUACCCUGAAUAAGGGAGUGAAAUAGUUUCUGAAACCAUGCGCCUACAAGCAGUCGAAGUUUUAUUUUAUAAAAUGACGGCGUGCCUUUUGUAUAAUGAGCCUACGAGUUAAUCUUCUUUGGCAAGGUAAAUCUUUUUUAAAAGAAAAGCCGAAGUGAAAGCGAGCCUGAAUAGGGCGCUAGUCAGAG
This 212-nucleotide ribosomal RNA is filed under the name uncultured Symbiodinium. RNAcentral's name for it is "partial Bacterial large subunit ribosomal RNA". It matches the Rfam family "Bacterial large subunit ribosomal RNA", at positions 497 to 705 of the family's 2925-position model. The record is from RNAcentral. Lineage: Eukaryota; Dinophyceae; Suessiales; Symbiodiniaceae.